CCUCCAGACUCCUACGGGAGGCAGCAGUGAGGAAUAUUGGUCAAUGGACGCAAGUCUGAACCAGCCAUGCCGCGUGCAGGAAGACGGCUCUAUGAGUUGUAAACUGCUUUUGUACGAGGGUAAAUGCAGGUACGUGUAUCUGUUUGAAAGUAUCGUACGAAUAAGGAUCGGCUAACUCCGUGCCAGCAGCCGCGGUAAUACGGAGGAUCCAAGCGUUAUCCGGAUUUAUUGGGUUUAAAGGGUGCGUAGGCGGUUUUAUAAGUUAGAGGUGAAAUCUCGGGGCUCAACUCCGAAAUUGCCUCUAAUACUGUAGGACUAGAGAGUAGUUGCGGUAGGCGGAAUGUAUGGUGUAGCGGUGAAAUGCAUAGAUAUCACGCAGAACCCCGAUUGCGAAGGCAGCCUUCCGGCGCCCUACUGACGCUGAGGCACGAAAGUGCGGGGAUCGAACAGGAUUAGAUACCCUUGUACU
This 469-nucleotide ribosomal RNA is filed under the name uncultured bacterium. RNAcentral describes it as "bacterial SSU rRNA". It matches the Rfam family "Bacterial small subunit ribosomal RNA", at positions 328 to 794 of the family's 1533-position model. The record is from RNAcentral.